Molecule: RNA transcript, 2996 nt
Organism: Triticum aestivum (bread wheat)
Lineage: Eukaryota; Viridiplantae; Streptophyta; Magnoliopsida; Poales; Poaceae
Exons: 11
Source: RefSeq, a predicted model, not a curated record
CGUUUCCGCGUGAACGACACUUUGCCCAAUCUGGUCCGCGCGCUACGCACCCAAUCUCGCUCGCACACCAGCCGCCGCACAACCCUAGCUCCCACAUUCCCCUCGAUCCACUGCCCCUCCCUCCUUCCCGCUCAUCACCAGGGCCUCGCCGCCGCCUACUCCUCCUCCCCCACCGUUGCUGCUUCCCCACCUCGACUUCCCUCUCUCCGUUGUUUAUCCGGUCGUCGGCGGCGCCUUGUUCCAGAUCUGGCGCAAGUUAGGCCCGGUGGUGGGGCGAAGGGGCAGUGGAGGUGGGCGACCAGGACAAGCAGCUGUCGGCCCGUCGUGGGUGAGGCUCCAAGAGGGAAGAGGCGGGGACAGGAGGCUCGAGGGAAGAGGGAUGAGGCGGGGACAGGUGAAGGAGCAGGCUGGUCCUCGUGGAGGCGGCGCCGCCGGCCAGGGGCCAUUCACCGUCGCUGGCCUCACUCACCUCGUCUAUUCUCUCGUCACCAACUCGACAAUGGAGGAUGGGACAAGCAUGCCGGUGGCCAGCCAGUGGAGCCCCACCACAGGUGGUGAGAUUUUUCUCUGCUGUCUUCUUACUCUGGGGCGUGCCCUGGAAGAACUCACCCACACCAGCCAAGGAGGAUCCAUGAUGUGUGUGAGGUAGAGGUGGAUCAUUGGAGGUGAAGCAGGUCUCCUUGAGUUGUGCUUCAUCUGAGUUUCACGGGGUACUUAAGCAAUGGUUGCACCCCGCCACAUCACAUACCAGAUGCUCAGAUUAUAAGAAAGAGAAUUUUAUAAGUCAGGCAUCGAUUGCUCACCUUUGAAAGUUACAGAUUCAAGUGCUAGGCUUUAAGAAUGAAGCAAAUCCCAAUCUAGAAACAUGUUUCGUGCACCAUAUAUUUGUCACCAGAAAUGAAUGCGCAGGCGACAGCCAUUUGAUUAGUGUUAUAUCCAACUAAGGUAUCCUUCCACCAAAUGACCACAUCUGAAUUUGUUUAACUACAAUCCGAUGCAAUAGAGUUAUGUAUUGUUCUCAUAGUCCAUCCAUUAUAUUUUGGCUUUUAAGGCUAGCUAACUGCAGUUUGAUUAUCGAUUCAUCUAUGGCAGCACAGACAGGUAAAAAUGUUUUUUUCUUGUUUUAUAGUUUUAGGUCAAAGUUCUCUUUUACCUUAACUUUUCAAUUGUACUCUGCUUUGUAGGUUCUCAUCAUACCGAUUUAGUGACUUACUAUAGUUUGAUUGCUAAUUCAUAUUUUAUUCUUUUAUAUUAUGCAGCUUCCUCUGUGUACUGUUGGGAUAAAUUCCAUGACUUUGUAUCUUGUUUAAAUGGCUAGGAUUUGAGAUUGUUUGAAUCCAUUAUGACACAAUGUUCUGACCAUCAACUAGGGUGCUCAAUGCGCAAUAGAUAGCUUUUGGUUGUCACCAUUAGGACAGAAAAGUACUAGAUUUUGAGGUUUUUAAUAGCUCAAAUAUGCUAACUGCAGAGCAACAUGGCAGUUACAAUGGUUCCAUGUCCUAAUUAGUUAUUUUAUUUCGUUUUGCAGGCGUAUUAUCUUGGAGGUUGCUUCUUAUUUUUACUAUAGAUCAAGUUUCUUUGUUUCCUUUCUAGCUACCUCUGCUGCAUUUGUUUUAUAUAUCCUAUAUGCUUUAAAUAUCCUAUAUGCUGUCAUGAUCCUUGCUUCAGUGAUCAUGUUGAUUUUCCAGAUUUGGUCGGGUGUUGUGUUUUUUUUGGCCCUUGUGCGCUUUGAUCGAUGUGCUCUGGCUCUGUGACUGUGAUGAUGCACAGGCAAUGGCAGCAUCGGUGGCACGAGAGGAAGGAUGGGAAUCAGCUACUUGCAUUCGCACAGAGGAGGCAAUGUCGACGCGAUGGCACAGCAGAGGAGGCUGGGCUCGUUGUGGAGCUUCUUGAGGCAGCAGGAUGUCGGUGAGAGCAUCGCUGCCGGCAAUGGCUUGAGUGACCUCUUGAGGAUCUUCUCCAUGAGCACAUGUGACGACACCAACUCCAACGUCAUCUUCUCAGCGCCCGGCAGCAAGAAGGCCGAGGUGCUCGGCGACAGCGAUGUCGGCAUGGUCACCAGCUUCAGCAACAUCGACUCCCAGAUUCAGUUAGCCCUCUCGAGCUGGACAUGCCCAGCAUGGACGACUACCUGCAGCUGCAGCAGGACUCCGCCGACUGCAGAGUCCACGCCAAGCAUGGCUGCACCACUGACCCGCAGAGCAUCGCUUGGGAGGGAAAGAAGAACAAGGACCAAUAAGAGGCUAAGGAGGCUGCAAGACCUCAUUCCCUACAUGGACAAGGUCACAAGGCCAAUACACAUUCAGGAAAUAUGUGACCAGCUUCCCCAAGGUCCCGCAUCGUCUACUCAGUAAGCCAAGGUGGAGGUUGGGAAACAAAGAACUUGCCCAACUGUGGAAAUGGGCAGAACUAAACCCUAUAAACUUGCAGAUGGACACAUCUGCCAGAGAGACGGCGGUCAUGAGAGCCAGAAGAUCACAAGAGAUCGACCUUUUGGGUGGUCUAAUACUUCCUGUAUGGGCACAUAGAAAAGCCACUACGAUAAGCCGACACCUAAUAAGGAUCAGGAGAACAACAGAUAUGCUAAGAGACAACCUUUUGGGGUUAAGGAUAUAAACAACAACAGGGCUUAUGAGGCCGAAGAAAGCUCAAGUGGCGUCUUUUGGUUCUUGAAGACCUGCACGUUCCUGGUGGAGUAGAGCAAAAUAAUUUGAAGGCUUUAAAGCUACUGCACUUCAUGUAGUUAGGAUCAACUCUUUGUUUUAGUUUGAAAUAUUCCCCAUUUCCUCCUAUUUGAUUGAUUCAUCUGAUGGACAUUUUGUCAGGCAAAUAAACAAAAGGCAUAUGUAUUAUUACGAGUGAAGCCAUCCAUACUCCCAUGUGGAAUUCAAGAAAUAGAGAAAUGUUAUUGUUUUUCUACUAAUUGUUUGCUUGGCCAAAUGUAUUGUAAAUGAUUUAUUAUUGUUCAAGGUAUAGAGAAAUGUUAUUGUUCUUUA